CCGGGAAACCGGGGCUAAUACCGGAUAACUUUGAACCGCAUGGUUCGAAAUUGAAAGGCGGCUUCGGCUGUCACUUAUGGAUGGACCCGCGUCGCAUUAGCUAGUUGGUGAGGUAACGGCUCACCAAGGCAACGAUGCGUAGCCGACCUGAGAGGGUGAUCGGCCACACUGGGACUGAGACACGGCCCAGACUACGGGAGGCAGCAGUAGGGAAUCUUCCGCAAUGGACGAUCUGAAAUGAUUGAUCUCCGGAGCAACGCCGCGUGAGUGAUGAAGGCUUUCGGGUAAACUCUGUUGUUAGGGAAGAACAAGUGCUAGUUGAAUAAGCUGGCACCUUGACGGUACCUAACCAGAUUAGUCAAGCCACGGCUAACUACGUGCCAGCAGCCGCGGUAAUACGUAGGUGGCAAGCGUUAUCCGGAAUUAUUGGGCGUAAAGCGCGCGCAGGUGGUUUCUUAAGUCUGAUGUGAAAGCCCACGGCUCCGUGGAGGGUCAUUGGAAACUGGGAGACUUGAGUGCAGAAGAAAUGAUCGGAAAGUGGAAUUCCAUGUGUAGCGGUGAGCGUAGAGAUAUGGAGGAACACCAGUGGCGAAGGCGACUUUCUGGUCUGUAACUACUGAGGCGCGAAAGCGUGGGGAGCAAACAUUAGAUACCCUGGUAGUCCACGCCGUAAUGAGUGCUAAGUGUUAGAGGGUUUCCGCCCUUUAGUGCUGAAGUUAAAUUAAGCACUCCGCCUGGGGAGUACGGCCGCAAGGCUGAAACUCAAAGGAAUUGACGGGGGCCCGCACAAGCGGUGGAGCAUGUGGUUUAAUUCGAAGCAACGCGAAGAACCUUACCAGGUCUUGACAUCUGACAACCCUAGAGAUAGGGUUUAGUCAACUUCUCCUUCGGGAGCAGAACAGGUGGUGCAUGGUUGUCGUCAGGGUACCAAAUGAUCGUCUCGUGUCGUGAAAUGUCGAUGUGUUAAGUCCCGCAACGAGCGCAACCCUUGAUCUUAGUUGCCAUCAUUUAGUUGGGCACUCUAAGGUGACUGCCGGUGACAAACCGGAGGAAGGUGGGGAUGACGUCAAAUCAUCAUGCCCCUUAUGACCUGGGCUACACACGUGCUACAAUGGACGGUACAAACUGCAAGACCGCGAGGUGGAGCUAAUCUCAUAAAACCGUUCUAACAGUCACAGUUC
This 1181-nucleotide ribosomal RNA is filed under the name Bacillus sp. RARE-19. RNAcentral's name for it is "bacterial SSU rRNA". It matches the Rfam family "Bacterial small subunit ribosomal RNA", at positions 149 to 1305 of the family's 1533-position model. Lineage: Bacteria; Bacillati; Bacillota; Bacilli; Caryophanales; Bacillaceae. The record is from RNAcentral.